Long non-coding RNA from Mus musculus (house mouse), 346 nucleotides. RefSeq annotates it as predicted gene, 30746. The record is from RefSeq and is a predicted model, not a curated record. The transcript has 3 exons. NCBI's taxonomy places the organism in Eukaryota, Metazoa, Chordata, Mammalia, Rodentia, Muridae.
AAGAGCAUCUAUUAGCGCAGCGAGAAUGGAUCCAGCUGCUGAUACAGUCACCAAACAUGGAAGAGCUACACAGGGCCAGGCUGCAAUUUCUCCUCCCAAGUCCAAUGGAGCCCAUUGCAGCAAGUGAGACAUUUGGAAUAUUGUUACCAUUGGAUGUGUGGAUUGGAUACCCUGUGGGGACAUGGGGACCAGAUUAGGAGGAGGGACACGUCUGCGGCUGACUGUGUACAGAUGUUAAACAUCCGUAGUUUGGAUUGAGACCUGGGUUCAAACUCUGCUUCCGCUCUCAGGCUUCCCGGUGCUCAUCCAGGAAGAACCCAUCUAUCACCUGCAUUUUUUGGCUGAC